RNAcentral lists this ribosomal RNA (460 nucleotides) under uncultured bacterium. RNAcentral describes it as "partial 16S ribosomal RNA". It matches the Rfam family "Bacterial small subunit ribosomal RNA", at positions 338 to 795 of the family's 1533-position model. The record is from RNAcentral.
CCUACGGGUGGCAGCAGUGAGGAAUAUUGGUCAAUGGGCGCGAGCCUGAACCAGCCACGUAGCGUGAAGGAUGACUGCUCUACGGGUUGUAAACUUCUUUUAUAAAGGAAUUAAGUGAGGCAAGUGUGCCUUUUUGUAUGUACUUUAUGAAUAAGGAUCGGCUAACUCCGUGCCAGCAGCAGCGGUAAUACGGAGGAUCCGCGCGUUAUCCGGAUUUAUUGGGUUUAAAGGGAGCGUAGAUGGGUUGUUAAGUCAGUUGUGAAAGUUUGCGGCUCAACCGUUAAAUUGCAAUUGAUACUGGCAGUCUAGAGUACAGUUGAGGUAGGCGGAAUUCGUGGUGUAGCGGUGAAAUGCGUAGAUAUCACGAGGAACUCCGAUUGCGAAGGCAGCUUACUAAACUGCCACUGACAUUGAUGCUCGAAAGUGUGGGUAUCAAACAGGAUUAGAUACCCGGGUAGUC